UCCAUAUGCAGCAACCUCCACGUGGUGAGACCUGGGUCGGUAUUACUUGCGAUCUAUUCAAAUCUGAUUGUAAAUCAUGUAACGCAAGUACUGCCGGGCGGAUGGCUGCAUCUUUUAGUGUGUUUCCAUAUUAUGUUAUUUCUAAUUGUACUUAACAUUACACUAUUCAUUUUACAUACAUCUAAUUAUACAAUACUUCAGUAGAUAGAUAAAUAAAUCAGAUAAAGUUAUAUGAAAUUAUUGCUUAUAAAGACACACUGUAAAUUUUCAAAUUCAAGUGAUUUUAUGUGGCACAAUUUUUUUCAUAAUACUUUCUUUAAUACGUUUAAAUUUUCAGGAUGCGUUUCUAUUUUCAAUAUUUAAAAACUAUGUUUUAGAAAGAUCUACUUAUUUUUUCGUAUUAAAUGUUUAGAACAAAUUGAAAAUAAUAACUUUUGAAAAAAUAUUUUUUAAAGAUUACAUAAAUUCAAGCAUUAAUCGAUUACAGUUAGGAUUAUUAUUAAAAUAUUUAAGAUUAAUAUAUAAAGUUAAUUAGAGUGUAAAGGUGGAGCAAUAUUAAAUUCAUAUAAAAUGAAAAGAAAUCGGUAUAAAAAUCAAUCGAAUGUGACGUGGCCGUGAAAAAAAAGUCGCUGAAAGAAUAGACAUGAAAAUUUUUUAUCAAAACGUGUAUAAAGAUUUAUUGAGGCGCUAUUCAAGCAUUCGAUCGUCACGAAUAAAACUAUAGAUCGGACGAUAUGCUGUAUGAAUAGUCAUAGCUUUUAGGAGAAUUAGUUUCAAUUCGUUAAAAGUGUGUAAUUUCUGACGAGGAUUUUCAGUAAGCUAUGUCGGUCGUUCCAUCACUUCUGAUAAACUAUGGAUCAUUUUCUCUUAUUAUUAAAUAAUAUUAUUAAAACAGUAAUAAUAAUGUAGUCAUACUAAUUCCAUCGAUUUUUUUAAUCUUCUUAUCGUAAAAACAUGGACGCAUAUUAUUCACAAUAAAAAACAUUUACACAUCUCUUGUACGACACAGUUUAAAUAGUAAAAUUUCAUUAGCGACUAUUUUUGAAGAAGCUUUUCUUUUCAUGCAUAAACUAUUCUACAAAGAAAAAGAAGGGAAAAGGAACAGUUUUUGACAUUAUUUUUUUCAUAGAAAAUAAAGCUUUUUCAAAAAUUCGAAAAAGUCAUCUCCUCGUUUAAAAAGUCAAAAAUUACGUCUAAAGCCAUUCUUGCUGUAAAGAAUUAUAAAACUAAAGUCUUAAAAUGCAUACAGAAGUACAUUAUAUAUUUACCACGUGAAAUUAAACGCUUCUGGACAUAUAUAAGAGCUAUUUUCUCUUCUCUCUCUCUCUCUCUCUCUCCCCUUUUUCUAUUCUCUGUUUACACGUCUGUUAAAAAAUCAUACGGGUUUUCACUGACGAACGUAACGCGAGAAACAUAUCCUCUUUUUUUUAGAAAAAGUAAAGAAAGACGAGAAAGAAUCCUUUAUCGUUGGUAUCCAUCGUCGUUUUACGGAAUCGCUUGUAGUCCAGCUGGAAAAACGAUCCUUUUAACUUGGAGGUUUCCUCUGUCCCUACUUGCUGCUAGCUCCGGUUAUCUUACUCUAAUAAAACUAAUUGCGAUUCGCUCCGUUUCGUUCCUAUAUUUCUUCCUCUCUCUUCCUCUCUUCAUCCCUCUCACUCUCUCUUUUAUCCUCGGUCUUACUGACUCACCCUCGCCCCUUUUAGAGCGUCUUCUCCAUUUCAAACCAGCAUCGUCUAGGACCGUCACCCCUGUCUCGUAAUCGACUAUUAAGGAAGGACCCUUUCCAAUUUGCAAGGUCGACGCCUAGAAGUGCGACAUUCUCAAGAGGAAACUUGAGAAGACUGAGACAGAGAGUCGGAGAGAGAGAGAAAAAGAGAGAGAAGAAACCAACAAGACAGAAGGGACGGACUUCGAGACGAUAAAGAAUAAAAGGACGAUAAAUUUCAAAAGAUAUUAUUCAUACUCUUAUUCUCGUAAAGAAUAGAAAUUAUGAACGUAACCAGGGGCAGAAAUAUAAAAUUCUUCGAACUUUCUUUCAAACAUUUGAAAGAAAUAUCUACUUACAUUUAUUUGAAAUAGAAACGAAGCAAACGGUUUAGAUCUUGACGUUUAUACGAUUAUGUAAGAAUGAAUUAUGAUCGGGCGUGGCUUUCCAUCGUUGCUUGAUAAAGAGGAAAUCCAAUGUUUGUUGAAAGUGAAAGCUAUAGUACGCUCUUGUUUGAUGCAAUGAAAUGCGUUUAUGAUGUUAAGAAGAUCGUCGACCGUUAGUCAUAGCUCAUUGCCCCCUGUAAAUCGAUUCUAAUUCAUUAGAAGGGUCUUUUCCUUUUGGUACGUCGUUCGUUCAUACUGCUGGACAGUCACCAGUGUCGAUCGAUAAGCUCGUUACGGUUUUGCAACAUGAUUCUCGACGUUACUCUCUGCUCUCCUUUCCUUCGCCGGAAGUCCCAACAGAGUGCAAAAAAAGAAAAAAGAAAAUCGUUAAUUUCAGACAGACCAGCUAACGAAACUAAUUAAUUACCUUGGGCUCGCACGAGCUCGUUCGUUUCCUUCCUCUCAUCCUUUUUCUUUUCUAUUCUCUUCUUUUUCUUCUUCUUCUUCUUCUUCUUCCGCCUCUUUUUCCUUUCUUCCCUUUUUUCUUUUUAUUUCUUAAAGCGCAGUCAUUCUCCUUCUUCUCCUGAAUUUCAAUGCCUUUGAAAGAAAAAGAUAGAAAAAGAAAGAGAGAGAGAGAGAGCUCAUCGAUCAUCUCGAAAAAAACUCUCCGUCUCGUCCGCCCUCCCCCUUCCCGGAUGGUACAACGAGUUCUUUUCUUCUGUUCGCGAUUAACGAGCUCGUCCUCGAGUGCCGGAGAGACGAUCGAGGAAAAGUCGGCUUUUUGAGUCUCACGAGUUUUUCGACAUUACGAAUUUCUACGUAAGUAUGUAUGUAUCUACGUACGGUAGUCGAUAUCUGGAAUUUGUGCGGUCUAACCUUAAACGGAACAUCAAACGAUUCUGGCUAUUUCGUGGUGGCUUUGCUAACGAGUGCCCUAAUUUCUCGAAUGACGUCAUGCAUGCAAUGAAACCUUUGAGAAUUCAACGAUACGAUUACUAUUUUCCUAUUAAUAUCUCACUGGUUGUAAGUAUCUUUGAUAGAAAGAUUUCUAAUAUUAGCGUUCGGUUAAAAUAUCGCAAUACGAUUCUGAUAUGUGUGUGUGUGUGUAUAUUUACAUCUUUAGAUAUUAAUAUUUAUUUAUUUCUUCUUUCUAUCUCAUAAAUCGACAUUGCAAAGAUAGUUUCUCUUAAUUCGUAAAAUACAUAACAACGAAAAUUUUGAUAUUGUCAGAAUAUAGUUUGAGAGAGAGUUCUCUUCUUCGUCGUCUUUGUCAAAUCAAUUUCCCGUAAAGCAGGUAGGAAGAGGCGAAUAACAAAAACGUGCUACAACCGAGCACAUCGUUGUCGCUAACUGUACCACCCACGGUUUUAUCCACAAAGCCGUCGCAAUUAAGCGGAUGGCACGUACACCAGACUGGAUCUACGAGAUUUAUCCCUCGAUAAUACGAGCUGCCCGACAAACUUUUUCCUUUACCGAAAGGAAAUUCAUUUGAAGUCAUUCGUGAGCGAAAAGGUACGAAAGUUCCUCCUAUCAUUGAAACAAGCCGAACUUAGUUUCGAAAAACGCUCUUUGAUAUAAGAUCCUAGAUAACUCGACUUGGUUCGUUCUUUUUACAUUAAUUUCAUUGCUUCAAAACGUUUAUAUUCCCUAAACGCGUCGAACUUGUAAUAUAACCUAGUAACGUAAGAUAGAUAUCAGUGUCCCUUGAUAUUUCACGGUAUAAAACAUUUAAUAAACCGUUAAUAUCACCACCGGUAUUCCCAUUGUUUCAACUAAUUGAGAUAUAUUAUGUUCUAACGGCGAAAUUUGUCGCCUUUAUGUCAUUCGCAAGUUACGUUAGAAGAUAUAUCUAUACGAUUUAAACGGAAUAUCCAUAAUCUCUAGAAUUUUAUCGGCGACCUCGAAAAUCGAAAGGCGAAAGGACAGUCGUAUGAAUCUUUAAUUAAAUGGAAAAUUCCAAAAGAUACGCAUAAUGUACUUUAAUGUGCAAAAGUUUGAUUAACCGUACGAGUUGUAUGUAAUGAAGAGAGAUUAAAUUCUUGAUCAUUGAUGCCGAGCAAAGAAGAAGAAAUAUAUGAGAGGAAAGAACGAGAAAGAUAGAUUAUCGUGACAUUACUAACUUACAUGAUUUAUCGAGCGACCUAUGAAUCAUCAGUACAACUCGUCCAGAUACUUACAUUCGUCGACAUCGUUAUCUUCCAGGUAUCCAACGCAACGCGUUGGAUCUGUUUCUUUCCUUUUUUUUCUUUUCUUUUUGUUUCUUCCCCUUUUAUUUUCUACCAGCUAUCAUAAACGCGAUCGACGGGCAUCCAACUGUGAGAACGGUCGGUCUCGUUACCCUUUCUUCCUUGGCUUCGAACGAUUAUACGCCGGUUUCCUUGCGACAUCGUUGCGACAUAUCCUGUUUUUCGCGUUGGCCAAUACCUACGCCUCUCGGUGUUCGAUCUUCGUUGAAAGUAAAAGGGCAAAGGUCAAAAGUUCUGGCAUCUUUUCUAUUUCACUUCUAUCUUCGCACUUUACGACAUUAUUUAUAAAGUUCAUCCUGUAUUCGGCCCUUCGAACUCUUCUCACUUUUUUCUUUUUCCUUGCUUCUGUUUUCCUUUUUCAUUUCUCGUUUCCUCAACCUUUCCGUUUCUCCAUUCUUUUCACACGUUCGAUCACGAUUUUUCCUUCCUCUUUCCUCCCCAUAAGUCCGUUUCCUUGGACAUAUCAGAGUGAGUGCAUUUCCUCGUAACUAUUUCCAUUUAAUAGCUUAAGCAAGUUGCGAUAUUCCUCCAUCCACGACCGUCGCACCUUCUGUUCCGUCUGUUCAGAAUCGUUGAGAAAUCUCAAGGAGACCUAGUCGCCAGUGGAAAAACGAUGCUGUUCCGAAUGACGAAAUUCGAAGGACUCUUCUCGUCUGACUUAUGUUCGACUUGAAGAACGAUGCUCCCCUACGAGCGCUCGAUGUGAUUUUAACGAGCGUUGCUCUUCUCGUGCGGAAGGAAAUUUAGAUUAUGAUCGUUGGUUCUACGACCAACGUCUUUUUUUCGUUUUCUUUUUCUUUUCUUUCUUUCUUUUUUGUUUUAUUUCAUACACAUACACAAAAAAUACGUUUGCAUUAUGGUACACGCGUAGCUACGAUCUCAUCGAAACAACCAAACGAAGUGAAAAAGAUGAAACGUCUCGUGCAAGGAACUUUCUUGAAAAAUUUUCUCACGUCCUGAUCGUACGACCACAAAAAUAUCCAACUCUGUUCCGUAUCGCGAAACUACGAAAAGUGAAAAAUAUGUUUGCAAAAAUAACGCCGAUGAAAAAUUCAAGGAUUCGAACUCGCGAAACUUUCGAAAUGAAUUACGUUUACUUGUAUUAGCCUCUUACGUGGCGAAACUGUGAAUAAUUUAAAACUCAAAAAUGUUCAAAGUCCAAGCAGCUUGACUUUAUUUUAAAAAGCUUCUACGUGUGCAGAGAAAGGAAAAGGAAAAAAGAAAGAAAGAGAAAAAAAAAGAAACGCAGUUAUUAUCGUUCGUAAUCGCUUUUCUCGAAACGAGAGAAAAAUUAAAGAUGAUAAGUACUUUAUUAUUGAACAAUUUUAUCGCAUAUUUCAUCUUCAAAAAAGAAAAUCAAAGAAAAACGCUUUCUAACGUUCAUUUGAACGUGAUCGAUAGAAACAAAAAUGACGUUUACAAAUGAAGAUGUUCACGCUUAUGGGUUUACUUCGAUUUACUUGGACGAAAUCAAACGCGUAUCUGUCACGCUCAGUGUGUUUGUUCUUCAUUACGCUCGACCAUCGUGCGUACGUAAGUCGAUGAAAUACGGAUCCGUUGAAAGCCGGCGCUAAUGCCGGCAGCAUGAAAGCAGCUAUUUACUAUUUCUCCCUCUCAUCCUCGUUAGUUUACCCGUUCGCUUGAUACAAUUUCUUCUUCGUUAUCAUUCGAAACAAAUUGUUUUUGGCCCGGCAUUUAAACUGAAUGACUAGACGUUGAUCCAUUUACAUAAUUAAACGAACAAAGCAAGAGCUAUAAAGAUAAUUUUGAAAACGCGUUGUUGCCUCUGGACAGACGAUGUUAACGUUAAUUUAUAGUCGACCUUUGGUCAUCCCUUGUGUCAUACUAAGGAAAAUUAGAUUGCAUGUACGUAAAGAUAAUAGUCUACUAUUCCGUAAGCACGUCGAAUGAAUACAUAAUUUGAUACUCGAAAUAAUUGUUAAAAAGGUAUGGCGAAAGGUCACGCAGUUUACACGGAACGUACAUCAUUGACGUUAAAAUUCGACGAUCUUGACAUUGUUUCUAUCUAUAUAAUUCUUAGAAUUUUUUUCAAUCGAUCUUUUCGCUAUUACGAUAGCAAAAGAUCGAAGAGUCUCGGAUCUCGUCGUGAAACAUACGCAGUGUCAUCGGCCUCUCGUAGCCUUGACACGCUGCACUCGAGGUUACCGACGAAGAGUGGAUGUUCAUUCGUCUCGUCGAGCAUGCGAGAGUGACUAGUGAAUGAGAGAGAGAGAGAGAGAGAGAGAGAGAGAGAUAGAUAGAUAGAUAGAUAGAUAGAUAGAUAGAUAGAUAGAUAGAUAGGUGGGUAGAUAGAGGGAGAAGGCUAAAGUACAGAGACUGAAGAGAGUCAAAGUGGAAAGAAAGAGGGACACAAGAAGUACUCAUGGACGGACCGUGUAGCUGGCCGACGAGAUAGCUAUAUACUUCUUUCUUCCUUUCUCUCUUUUUCUCUCUCUCUUUUUCUUUCUCUUUCUCUUUCGUUCACGUCUAUGUACAAUUUCAAUAAAACGCGUACACGUUUGUUCGUGUAUGUACUUUCUGGAAUUCACUUGCUACUAGCAAGUUGCAUCUUCACCGUUUGCUCGACUACACAACACUACAAUCGACUCUUGUAAACGAUCUUGCGUAACGGUUCAAACGAUACGACUUAAAGGCAAGGUUUCGAUUGAGGGAGUGAGUGAGAAAGAGAGUAAAAAGAGAGAUAGAGAAUAAGAGAGAGAGAGAAAGAGAUAGAGAGAGAGAGAGAGAGAGAGAGAGAGAGAGAGAGAGAGAAAGCAAGAAACUCCUCCGUAAAUUGAACAUAAAUUCCGUGAACUCUCUACCCUGAACUCGAACUCCUCUAUCAACUGCUUGUACGGCAUACAACUCUAACGAGUCUCACGUUAAAUUUCCACCUUAUUAUCGAUUUUAAGCGUCUUCCUAAUUAUGUAUUCCGCUAAUUAGACGAAAUAGCUUGACGUAACUUCGAAAUUGGAUUCUAGAUAUAAUGAUCGUACAAUGUAGGAGAUAGUAGGUAGGUAAUUAAUAUGAAGUAGAAUUUUUACUGAAACAUUUUGCAAGAGAAAGAGAGAAAGAGAGAAGAUUCUUGUUCGUGGAUGAACAGAAUGUAUUGCGGACUCUUUCGGAAGUGACGAAAAUGGUAGAAAUAUCUGGUCGUUCACGCGACGCAGAUAAUCCUUUUGCGUAUACGUAGGUUCGUGUUCACCAGUUUCACGAAUUGCAUCCUCGCGAUUGCAAUCGCGCUCUUUUCUCUAGACGAUCUUGCGCAAUCGCAGAGGGCACGCGACUUGAACGUUACGAAUGUAGUAGGUAAGAGUUACAAGAGUUACGAGUACUUUCUCUCGAUACUGACCGACCAUUUGUAACAGCAAGAGAAAGAAAAAGAGAGAGAGAGAAAGAAGGAAAAGAAAAAAAAAGAGAAAGAAAAAAUAUAAAAAGAAAGAGAAAAUAAAGAGAAAGAGAAAAUAAACCACUUCGACCGUCUGUCUUCGAAGAUAACGAAAAAUCAACGAACCGUAAUCACGUGCUCGAACGAUUUCGAGUAAAUCUCUCUUUCUCAGUUCGGAUUUCGGUUUCGAUCGUUCGUUUCCCGAACUCUUUCGCUAUUCUUUUUGUUUUUUCUUUUUCUUCUUUUUCUUCUUCUUCUUUCGCAUAAGUGAUGAUUACAUCAGCCGUGUGAAUUGCCUUCUCGCUUUCACGAUUUCUGACGAGAUCUUCUUCUUUCCACACUCUUUUCUCUCUUUAAUCUCUUUUUUUCAUUUUUAGCCGAUCAUCACGAUUGAGAGCAAUAAUCAUUAAAUUCGGUUGCGUAAAAUGCACGAGAGAGUAGAAACGCGAUCGGAGAUGAGCGAGUCGUAUUAAUAGCCAAAAUUUUUGGAAAGUUAUCGCUUCGACGAUACUAUAUCAUUUUUUAAUGCCUCUCGAAUAACUUUCUUCGUGAAAAAUUAUUGAUUUAACGCGUUGAUUUGCAUCGAACGAUCGACACGAUGUUUACGGUAUUAUAUAUAGAUACUUACGUUUUCACAAGCAAUUAAUUCACUAAAGUAAUUGCAAAGAAUCGUCUCAUUUUAUCUAAUAUCAUUAUUAAUUACUAUUCUUACACCGUUUAAUGCUUCUACUUCAGAACUCGAUCGAUUCUCUAGUUGAACACAGUGCUCCACCUUUUGCGCUUCACGCACGACGCGUCGCUAAUCGUCAUUGUAGGUAAUUGAAUUCUCAUCGCGGUCGAAUUAACGAUUUAAUUACAAUGCCUACCGCCUGAUCCAUCGAGAGUCAGGGUCGUUUAUGGAAGGGCACUAGGCACGACAGAUGUGCCACUUGACGAGAGAGAGAGAGAGAGCGCACAUGAAAAAGAGAAAGAGACCAAGUUAGAGAAAGACGAUGAAUAAUCGUAAAAGUAGAGUUCACGACACAAGAGCGAACGGAUGUUUUGAAAAACGAGGUUAAGGGUGAGAGCAACCCUUGAAACGCGUAGGAGAACGUCGGCUCGAAUAAAAGCAAGAAGGAGAGGACUUGAAUACGAGCGAGGUAGGACUCGUAAAAAUCUUUUUCUCUCUUUCUCUUUUUUAUUCUUUUCUCUUAAUUUUAUUCUUCCGUUCAAUGAUCUUGAUAGAUUGAGGAAAAGAAGAAGAAGAAGAGGGUCCGACCGGGCAAUUAGCGGUUUAGCAUACAAUAGAGUUGCGUGCAAUUGACUCGCGUUCGAAUCAACAGCCGUUUGCUUCGCGGCCGUCGGUAAUUAGUAGUUAAAGCGGAUAGAACUCUAUAUUGAGCGCGCUGCCACUGCGUCGGUUGAGCAUUCCGAUUUUCUCGUCUCUUCCUCUCUUCCUCUCUUUCUCUCUCAACCGCAUUUCUCUAAUGUACAGGAUUCAUGGUAAAAGCGGAUCAUAAGCAUAAUGCUAGUCAGCCGUUUCAUAAUGAAAUGGAUUUAAUCGAAUUAUGUUAAAAUUACCAUGGAGCAUUGCCAUUGAUACGGAUGUUUCUGAAUGAUCAUCUUCUUGUAUCAUUUCAUGUCUCUUUCUCAUUGACUUAGAAUGUUUAAUGAGACAGACCAGGAAGUAGAUAAGCAUACAUUCUUAAAAAAAAAAAAAAAAAAAAAAAAUGUUAAAUAGCUUGUUCUUGCAUAGCGUCGUUAAUUCGAUGACGUAGUGUUUUUACAUAAAAGAUUUUUUUCGUAUUCUUUCCUCUUUUUCUUUUUUCGUCGAUGCAUGAAUACGAGCUACCCACGAUUGUGAAAAAUAAAUAAGAAAAAAAAGAGCUUAAGAAAAUAUAUUAAUUCGAUGUAUAAUACACGAUUAAGAGAUAAUAAAGUUUGAGGUUCAAUCUUUUAAACUCAUUGAUCCAAGGACGUAACCUUUCGAAACUUCUUUAAUUUAAAUUACGAUCUCUUCAAUGGGACAAAUAUAAAAGUAAACAAAAGUGGUAUGAUACGUGGAAAAAAAAAACGAUUUUUUUUUAGUUCCUUGACAACGAACGAAAAAAAAAGAAAACAAAAAGGAAAGAAAAAAGAGAAACAAACGGAAGAUUAAUGAGAUAAUCUUUGAGGUUAGUCACGCGAGUAUUAAUUUGGAAGGUUUCAAUUUAGAAACCGAAUCUUCCUGAAGGUUUGCCGCUUCUCUACGUGAAAGGAAAACGAUGAGUCAGGAGGAUGCGAAUACAAUGAAAGUAAAAGUUUCCUGGCUCGCUAGGAAGCAUCGAGGUAGUUCGAAAAAUAUAGCUUGGUUGCUCGCUCGAGGUGAAACACCUUAUUUACGAAUAGAUCUAGAAUUCUCGAGACGUGGUGUAACGAAUUUCUGCAGACUUUAUGAGAGCGAUAAAGGAUUAGUUUCCUGUAGAAACGAAAGGCUGAAUUUAAUAUCAAGUAAGAGAAAAAUAAUAAACCGUCUACGAUACGCCGAUGUUCUUCUUUGUUAUAUUAUUUUUUUUUGAUCUUCUUUUCCUUUCCUUUCCUUUCCUUUUAACAUCUCAAAAAGUAAAAUAUAUGGUAGGUAUGUAUACACAUCCCGUUCGGAAUUUUAUCGCCGUUGACUCACCAAGCUCGCAACUUCUCGCGUUUCCUAACAACAAUGUAGAAAAGAGGUGGUUCGCAAGAAGUGGGGUAAGUCCUGAAAAAUAUUGAGAGGGCCGCGAGGCAAAUCGAUUUCUGAAAAUACAUAUGCGAAUCUAUUCCAACGUCCCCUUGCGAGGAGCGAACGUCUUUCGAGCGUUGAGAAGGGAAUAGCCUCGAGCAAAAGAAGGAAAAGACGAAGAAGAAGAAAAGGAAAAAGAUGGAAAAGAAGAGAAGGAUAGGAAUUGAAAAAGGCAAUGUACCUAUAUGCAUACGUAUCUGCAUACUUAUGUACAUGUAGGUACGAGUAACGACAAGGGCUCGCAAGGAUGAUUGAUCGGAUCCCCGAUAAGUUUCGUAGGACGAAAAUGAAAUUUUCGGGUAGCGAGUUUUGCGCGGCUGAGUCUACUCAUGUGGAAGGACGUUGCGACUUUUCGUGAAAUCACGAUGGAAGAUGUAAAUCGAAUCGCACAGCAUGAUACUUUUCACUCAUCGUUGUCCUCCUUUCUUUCCUCUUUUGCGUAUCACCAAAGGAAUUUAAAAUAACAAAAGUCUCGCUUACAUAUUCUAGGUACAUAUUGUAGGUACCUAUCCUACAUUUACACGAUCUAUUCAACUCGACAAAACGAAGGUAGAAAUUAAAAAUGAUUUUCUUUUGUAUUGUUAAAAUGUGUAUGUGUGUGUGUGUAUAUUAAAUAUUUUAUUUAAUAUAAAACUGACGUAUGUAUUUGCCGAGAAAUUUAAUAACACUUUUGCGUAUCUACCGUACUAAACACAAAGAACUUUUAAUAAUGCUAACGAAAAAGAGGGGGAUGAAGGAAGGGAGGGAAAGAUUUAAUAUCGUACGACUGACGAUAAUUCGAAGAAAAAGGCGGAACAAAUCCGUGAUCGUCGUAAAGUGCGAACGCCUUUCGUACGAGAAUCGCGCGUUCACGGAAUUCCGCUUGUGAAUAUCGGAGAACCACGUUGACUACGUGAGAGCAAAGAACAGACAGACAGAGAGAGAGAGAGAGAGAGAGAGAGAGAGAGAGAGAGAGAGAGAAAAGGAGAAAAAAGCAAAGAAGGGAAGAAAGAAAACUUCCGAAUGCCCUAGCGACGGAAUUUCCGGGCUGGGAAGCCUGCAAUUCCACCGUGUCGGCAACACGCUUAUUCCUCUUUGUCGAACUAACUGGAAUUGCAACAUUCGCGAUUGGCAGGCGUCCAUCGAGAGAACUAGUCGCUCAACUCAUCGAUAGAUCGGGCGAUCUCGAAACGGUUUCGACGGAUCGACGACGACGAUUACGAGCGAUGCACGCACGCAUCAUCGUCUAUCCAACUGUACGGAGAAGAGAGAAGAGAGAUUUGCCUCGUUCCUCGGCGAAUGCCUCGUUUGCCAAUCGCUAUAUGUGCUAGCUUAUCGAGCACAAGGUGCUGUUCGCACUCGAACGGACGAUCUACGAGAAACGAAGUCGUUGAACGCAAGUAUACGAGUAUUGCUCGCGAACAAGAACGAGAGAGAGAAAGAGAGAAAGAGUUGCUCUUUGAGAGAUUUCUUGAAGAAGACAUAAAAGCGAUAAACUUUCUCUGCGAACCUUUUAGUUUUAUCGAAACCUUUAAAUGUUUCUAUAUGAAAUUUUAUAACGAUAUUUUUCGUGGAAUAUCAUCGAGAAUGGAAUUAAUUUCUGAUGUACUAAGUGAUAAAGAAAUUUUAGGAAAAGGAGUCUAUGUCAUAUCCGUAUCGUUCAAUCAUCUAAUGAUCGAUUGAAAGAGAGAAGCGACAAGCAAAGAGAAGAAAGUCAAGAGGCUAAAAAUCAAUCGAAGAGAAUAGGAGAUAAGAGAAGAGUCUAGGAUCGUCUUUGUGCUUGAUAAUUCGUGCGAACACCCAUCGAUGCUUGCGGCUCGUUUCACACAAGAAAGAGACCCUUACCUGAGGGUUGGUGAUAGUCGAAAUCGGUGCUUACGAAGAGCCACUUAAGCUUCUUCGAUUUCUUUCAAAGUAUCGUCAUUGUCAUCGCGAUGACGCGAGACACGCCAAGAAUCUGCCUCGUAAACUCGUCGCACGAAAGUACCUGUUAAGUUGUUCGUAUCCCUUUAGAGAGCGGAGAUAUAUAUCAUAGAUACUUUAACGUAUAUUCCCUGUUAAAAGUGAAUUCUACUUAUUAUUCUUUUAUCCCGAGAUUUAUGAAAAAUUAUCUUUAAUGCAGAUAUUCGCGCAUAUAAUUUUUGUCGUUAAAAAAUUCCAACGAGACCUGCGCUGACGAAAAAAUUUCGAUAUAAAGUUAGUAUGUAGCUAUUCGUUCUAUGCUGACGUUUAAAUGGAUUCACGUUUUAAACUAAGCCGUCGUAGAAUAAUAAAGAGACAUUUAUCGAGAUAAUGAGAUGACGUAAAAGCUUAUUGAAUAUAUAUAUAUAUAUUGCAAAAAUAAAUAUAUGUAUAUAUAUUCUUGGAUUAUCCUUGAUGAGAGUAUUAUGAAACUAAUUACUAUAAAAUACUUUGGACGAAAUGAUUUUUUAGUAAAUUCUACGUUGCAUUAUCUCUAUCUCUUUUCUCGUUCUCUCUGUUUCUCUUUCCUACAGAAACAAGCAGAAACUUUACUGUCAUCGUGUCGAAUUUCCAUCGCGGUGUUCGCUUUACGCGGGCAAAGAUGUUAUAUACGACGAAUGAAUGAAGUUGCGACUAAGAUGGAGAAGCGAGAGACGGGAAACACAAAGAGGAGAAGGAAAAGCAGAGAUAGAAGAGGACAGAGGGAGAAAGACAGGAAGAAAGGUAGAGAGAGAGAGAGAGAGAGAAAGAGGAAGAGGUUUCAAGUUUUGCCACAAGAAACAUCCCCAAAGUGCUUGGAGUCGACGAAGUGGAAUCGAUUUCUCGAUAGACGUGCGCACUGAUUCACAGGGACGACGGCGAGUACAACGAACAAGGAGGAGGAAAAGGAGGAAGAGUAGGUAGAGGUGGAGGUGGAGAUGGAAGAGAAGGAAGAGGAGGAAGAGAAAGACGACGACAGUGGCGGAGAUGAGAACAUUACCGCGUCUUAAUCAUUGCGGGCUAUAAUGAAAUUCAGUAGAAUUUCACCACUUCAACAAGAUAGAUACUCAUAUUACAGCGAGCCGUCUGCGAUAUCUCGAUGAUCGAAACGAUUGUACUCAUCCUAUUCUCUUUAGAACGUAGAUGAGAGAGAAAAAGACAGAGAGAUAGAUAUAUAAACGCGUAUAUUCGUACCAUACAUACGCAUGCGCGCGCAUACACUCUCAUACGUAUAAGAACACAUAACUCUUUGUAUAUAUGUAUGUAUGUAUGUAUGUGCAUUUAAUAAGAAUCGAUUAAUUCGAUAAUUUUAUCUGGUGUGAGAGACGAAUUGAAACCGUAAUAAAACAAACUACCAUCGGCGAAAGCCUAAUUAGUCGUGCAUUCGUAUAAUUUUAAUUGGAUUUAUAUAUAAUUACGUAUUUUGCUCUCCUCGUCUACCUUUCCUGUUUUUCUUUCUCUCUUCUUCUCCCUCUAUCUAUUUAUCUCUGUUCGUUUUACUUCUCAAAGUACUACCAUCGUCGAGAAUCAGAGAAACCGAAAAAUCGCAUAUCCACGAAAUAUUGCAGGUUCGUUAUGAAUCGUUAAUGAUCGUUCUUGUAACAUGACGCCGGGAUCGGAUUACUUUUAGACUAUACACUCUCUCUCUCUCUCUCUCUCUCUCUCUCUCUCUCUCUCUCGCUCUUUUCCUAUAAACGCUAAAUCGACUUGAAUUUAAUGUCAGUUUCAUUUACCGAAACGUAUUUUUACGAUUCUGUUAAAUUAUUUCCCAUCCAAUUUAUACAUAUAUGUUAUUCAAUAUGAGAGUACGAUUGCGAAAAUAAUUUAUAUUUACUCAACGAAUUUAAAAACUUCGUUUAAAAACACCAUCAAUCCUUAACCCCCCGAAAUAUUUACCCCUUUCUCUCCUUUGUCCUUUCUACCUUCUAUUUUUCUUUUUCUUUUCUUUUUUUUUCUUUGCCAAGCACGCGUGCAUGUAAUUUUCCGUGAGCCGCAUUUUCCCGCAUGCGGAGCACACAAAUCGUGCACGUACCACGAACAGUUCUCGUGGCUGUCGCCAUAAAUCGAGAGGCAAUUUGUCCGAACCGGUCACGCUCUUCCGUCCCCCGUGUCUCGUAAUCGUUCCUAGCCAAGUUUCAUUUAUGCCGGAGAUCCACUUAAAUUUCGCACGAUCGUAACUUCUCACAGUUAGUGCGAGUGCGCAAACGCAUCGAGAUCUUUUUCGAGGGAGAGAAAAGAAAGAAAGAGAGAGAGAGAGAGAGAGAGAGAGAGAUUAUUACACUCCGUGGUGUAACUCGCGAUUCGCUCUUUGCUUUACCCCGUCAAGCACAGAAAUUUUUUAUCGUUCCUAUUUAUUACGACAAAAGAAACGAUAAGGUACAUAGACUCUCAUGGGAUCAAAACGAACGAGCUCGUUACUUUGUUAUAUAAUAUCUGUAAAAAGAGUUAAAAGGGCUAAUUGGAAUAAUUCCUCAUGGUAGAAUCAUCAAGGUUCUUGAAGAUUAUACGGAUUUGUUUUCCUUGAUUUCUUUUUAUUUUAUUUUAUUGUAUUUUUCUUUGAGAGAGAUAUUCGUAUUAUUAAAAGAUAAUAUGAUCUUGAAAAACCAGUUUAAUAGAGACAAAUUCACGUGCCUUUCUAUGUUUACAAUGACGUACGAGUAUUAUUAGCGCUAGCCUCUUUCUUUGUAUCUACGAUUUAUACUUUAUAGUCGGCAUUUGCAUAACUUGCCCGUUGGGUAUCCUUGUUCCCGCUCGCGGAUUUUAAAGCUCUUUCCGGCACUCGUUGGUUUUUGAACGUGAAGAGAUUGUCAUGGGUAUUCAUUCUCUCGAUACCUCUCCCUUUUCUCUCCUUCCCUUUCUCUCUCUCUCUCUCUCUCUCUGUCUCUCUUUCUCUUUAUUCGUUCUCUCUUCCUCUCUCUCUUCUCGCGUUGUCCUUUUUAUUUCCGCCCGUAUAAAUAUUUCUCGUGAUAAAAAGCCUAACGUUAUAUUACGUACUUAUUUAUUCCUUUUCUGUGCAAAUCCACGUUCAUAUUUCGAUUGCUUUGUACUUACAAGUUGAUGCAAGUAAAACGAAAGGAACUUUCCACGUUGGACAAGAGAACAUGCUACAAGAGUUUCCGCGUUUCGUAAAGGUAAGAAAACUACUUUUUAAUUAGACUUUCUUCGUGAUCGUCGUCGGAGUCACACAGAUGGACGGCGCACGCUUCCGUGCACACGCUAAGUGCGACAAAUAUCUUAAUCGCGAGAUUGUCUUAACAAGUAGCAACGUACACGAUAACUAUCUCACGACCGUUCGAGAUUAAAAACUCGCGCGAAGCGUAUACUCGUUAUAUUGAUAAUAAUUACAACGUAGAUUACUGAAAUAGGAAUCCUCGUUUCACUGCUAGUACUUUCUUCGUUUAGUAAUGGAGGAAGAAAGAAAAAGAACAAGUUCGAAAGGGGAACUUCCUGCGAGUCAGGUCGAGUCAAGUAAGUAUCCACUAUCGAUCGUCGUGUUCCAAAAGAUAACGGUUACAAAGCCUUGUAACCCUUUAACUUCAUUUUCAUUACUUUAAAACGAGCUUUGAAAAGAGAUCCUUAUCGUGCAUAAUGACCGGCAGCGGAGUACGCAUUUAAUAAUUAACGAUGCAUCCACGUCGAGAUAGAGUAACGAAGAAACGAAAAUCCACGUCGGCCAGCAAACAAUACCUCUCAUUAUCGAAAUGCUUAAAUUAACUCUAACGAGUUUCGAGUAGCAGCAGCAGCAGCAGCAACAGCAGAAACAGUAUUCGUGAUUUUCAAAAUGAUAAUUUAAUAACCGGUCUCGAAUGGUCCAGCGCUGUCGGAAUGAUGAAAGGUAAAGAAAAUAAAAAAGGAUUCGCGAUCGGCUUUACUCUUAAAAUAAACGGACUACCAACGUAUAUUUUACGUUAAAGGUAAAUAUCGAAACGUUUGUUUCGAAACUAGGUUAGAUGUUUCUGUUAUUUCAGCAAAGAAAAUAUUAUAUUUUUGCAAUGGAAUUCGUUGGAGUUUUACGUAAGGGACUUCCGUUACAAAAUAGGUAAAAAUUUAUAACGGAUGUGAAGAAAAUUCGUAGUCUUUAUCAGGAAAGUAAUCUUGAAUGCGUACAUAUUGUUGAUUCUGAAUCUAUGUUUAUGGAUUGUCAACAGUUUUCACAGAUCGAUCCUCGAUGCUGUUAAUAUCGCGAUCACCGUGAUUUUAAUUUUUAGGAACGAGUAGAUUAGAAAAAUCUGUACAGGAACGAUCGCUGUCCACUGUCGGAAUGCGAAAACAAGCGGAUUGCAAUAAAAUUUUGCUAGAUGUAACCACGCAUGAGAGCAACAUUUUAACACAUGGGAAUAACUAUACACAUACACAUACACACGCAAAUAUAUAUAUAUAUAUAUAUAUAUAUAUAAUACUCGAGUAAAUUCGUAAUAAUAAAAUUCAUGGAAAUAUAAUCUCACGGCUUGGAUCGUUCGUUACGUCGCUACGCUCGAUGCGGAACGAGAAUUUCGAUGCAACCGAGCCGUUGUAAAAUUUUAUUGCGCGUACGAUUGUACGUGAUAGAGACAGAGAGAGAGAGAGAAAAAUAGAGAGGGGAAAAUAGGAGAGAGGGUUCAAAACCGAUGUGUAUACGCGCCUUCAUUGCGACGUCCCCAACGGCCACGUGUUUCCCAAUUUCCAUUAACCGUAACACUCUCCAGUAACGUCGCUUGUCCGAGCCUUUCCGGAUCGUGCCGACGGAGACACUGUUUCCGUCGCUUUCACCCCUUCUCUCGAUCACCCUUCACAUCGACAAUACACUCACGACAUUGCAUUAUAUAUGUAUACUCGACGAACUUCUAAUGAGAGUGAAGAGAGAGAAAGAGAGACAGACAGAGAGAAAGAGAGAGGAUAAGGAGAAAGAUAGAGAAGUGAUGGGGGGAGGGGGGGGGGGGGUAAAGAGAAAGAGAAAGAAUCGAUCGAUCGAUCGGAUCACUCUCGUUAUAUGUACGUCGAUCGAUCUCUUGUAGACGUCAGCCAUGUGCCAGAACGUCGACGAGUUUUUAUCGGAGCGCGAUAAAAGGGACACCCUUACCACUUCAUCUCAUCUUCCUCUUUUUUCCUCCGUUAACCAUCGACUUCGACUUAUAUACAUGCAUACUUGACGAGUACGUAUAUACGAGCUCAACGAGAGACAUAAUACUCACGUGAUAAGGAGUGAAAGAGAUGGAGAAAAAGAAGAGACAGAGAUAAAGAGAGAAAGAGAGAUAGUCCAAUCGAUCUCGGACUGCAAGCCGGCCAAUGCUCACUCUCUCUUUCCAGUGUCCGUGAUAAAUCUCGAAAAAUCUCGCUUCGAGCCCUUUUCACCUCUUGACCGUGGACCGUGAAGGAGUAAUAUCGAAGAAUCGUACGAACGACAAAUUACCUGUACCUUCUUUUCCUUCUCCUCACGCUUCAUUCGUUCUUGAUUCACUAUAUACACUCGAAAGUGAGAAAGAUUGAGCACGGCUCACAUAAUUCUUUUUUUUUCUGUUGAAAGACGUUGUGACUUUAUCUCUUAAAAAGAAAGAUUUUUUGUUCUUCUUGUUUCUUUUUUUUUCUUCUUUCUUUUUUACUUUACUCUUCUUCAGUUUUUCUAGAGAUAGUACACGGUAUUCUAGAUAAUGAGACUCUCUUUUGUCUCUUUCUCUCUCUCUCUUUCUCUUCGUUUUGUCAGCUCCAUUAUUUCAAAUUGCUAUCUCAACGAAUAAAUCGUCUUUUCUCUCUACAUACCAACGAAAUACUCUCGUACGUAGUAAAUCGCUUGAGAGAUAUUCUAAUUAGCGAGAAAUAACCUUUCUCCGAAAAGGUGAAGGGAAACGUAAACGAACGAUAAACUACGAUCGAUGAGACUCGAAACGACGGUGAAGCGGCUUGUUUACGUGCGAUAUGCCAUCGAGGCGUGUAACAGGUACGCGUAAUAUUAAUGAGACGGAUGGACGUUUUGAGUGCGACGAGAACCGUGGCACGUGCUCAAAGUGGAUGACAGCGAAUGCCAUUAGUGCUUGCGGAUAUAACGAUAAACGUUGACUAAAAUCACUCGACUAACGUGACGCAUGUUACUACUUUAUCUCUCUCUCUCUCUCUCUGUCUCUCUAUCUAUCUAUCUAUCUAUUUAUCUAUCUAUCUAUCUCACUCGAAAGAGAAGUAUAGCGUCUGUGGAAGAGCACAUAAACGUUGCCGUUGCAAAUCUACUUUAAUGUUCGACUAGUCACCCUCGAGCGAUCCUCAACCGAUGUAUUUUAUUCCGUCGUGCGACAUCUCUCAGGUUUUCAGUCGUAACGCGUCGCUUUAACUUUCACCGUUCAAGUGCAACCAGAUAGGUUAACUAUAUCUCGGAAGAAAAAGAGAGAGAGAGAGAGAGAGAAAGAAACAUUCGGCAAAGAGCAAAAAGUUUCCUUCGGAGAGAACAUUAAAAGAUUAUCAUCGCGAUGAAUCAUCUCGGUUGUUGUUUCCCAACAAUGAGGUCGCACAAUUUCCACAUCGUCGUCGUCUUCGUUGUCAUCCUCAUCGUCGUCAUCCUCGUCAUCCUCGAUUUUGAUAGAGAACGAGUGUGUAUAAUUUUCGUCCGAUGGUGAGGAAAAAUCGUGACCCUGUAAACGAAAGAAAACAUCGGGAGGGUCGACCUGGAGGAUCAAACGAUCAAGCGACGUUGUACUAAUAUAGAUAUCUACAUAAUAGGAGCGAUCAAAGAAGAUAGGAAGAAAAGAAAGAAGAAGGGAGAAAAGAGAGAGGAUCACGAGUAGGAAGAUUUUUGUUGAGAUGCGAUAUAUCGAUGAUGAUGAUAAUAGAGAUGGUGUGAUAGUAAUGGUACUGGUAACGGUGAUGGUAGUAAUGGUGGUGGUGGUAGUGGUGGUGAUGGCGAGAUAGUGGAGGUAGUACGAAAGUUAAACUUCGUAAAGCAGAAGGAAGAAGACGAAGUCGAGGAGAGACAAGAAGGGCGGGGAUCAAGCUGAAGAAAGGCGAGAGAGCUAUAAAAGAGGCACCGCUCUCGACGAUGGGCAUCAAACACCUCGACAUGAAGGUGUUCGUGAUUACGCUCCUAUUGGCGUGCAUCGCCACCGCCUACGGCGGUUACAUAAGCAGCGGAGGCUGGUCCGGCGGCGGUGGCGGCUGGUCUGGAGGUGGUG
Molecule: long non-coding RNA, 19515 nt
Organism: Vespula vulgaris
Lineage: Eukaryota; Metazoa; Arthropoda; Insecta; Hymenoptera; Vespidae
Exons: 4
Source: RefSeq, a predicted model, not a curated record